AACGAACGCUGGCGGCGUGCCUAACACAUGCAAGUCGCGCGAGAAAACGGGGGCAACUCCGUGAGUAAAGCGGCGCACGGGUGAGUAACACGUAGGUAACCUACCUUCGAGUUCGGGAUAACCUUCCGAAAGGAGGGCUAAUACCGGCUAAGACCACGGGAUCUCGGUCCUGGGGUUAAAGAUGGCCUCUGCUUGCAAGCUAUCGCUCGGGGAUGGGCCUGCGCACCAUUAGCUAGUUGGCGGGGUAAUGGCCCACCAAGGCGAAGAUGGUUAGCUGGUCUGAGAGGAUGGCCAGCCACACUGGGACUGAGACACGGCCCAGACUCCUACGGGAGGCAGCAGUGGGGAAUCUUGGACAAUGGGGGAAACCCUGAUCCAGCGACGCCGCGUGGGUGAUGAAGGCCUUCGGGUCGUAAAGCCCUGUCGGGGGGGAAGAAACUCCUGCCGGUGAACAAUCGGCGGGAUUGACGGUACCCCCUAAGGAAGCACCGGCUAACUCUGUGC
RNAcentral lists this ribosomal RNA (504 nucleotides) under uncultured bacterium. Its description in RNAcentral is "bacterial SSU rRNA". It matches the Rfam family "Bacterial small subunit ribosomal RNA", at positions 29 to 508 of the family's 1533-position model. The record is from RNAcentral.